AGCAGUCGCCGCGGUAAUACGAAGGGGGCUAGCGUUGCUCGGAAUUACUGGGCGUAAAGGGCGCGUAGGCGGACAGUUAAGUUGGGGGUGAAAGCCCGGGGCUCAACCUCGGAAUUGCCUUCAAUACUGGCUGUCUUGAGUAUGAGAGAGGUGUGUGGAACUCCGAGUGUAGAGGUGAAAUUCGUAGAUAUUCGGAAGAACACCAGUGGCGAAGGCGACACACUGGCUCACUACUGACGCUGAGGCGCGAAAGCGUGGGGAGCAAACAGGAUUAGAUACCCCAGUGUCCCUGUCUCUUAUACA
RNAcentral lists this ribosomal RNA (303 nucleotides) under uncultured bacterium. RNAcentral describes it as "partial 16S ribosomal RNA". It matches the Rfam family "Bacterial small subunit ribosomal RNA", at positions 507 to 808 of the family's 1533-position model. The record is from RNAcentral.